RNAcentral lists this ribosomal RNA (372 nucleotides) under uncultured organism. RNAcentral's name for it is "bacterial SSU rRNA". It matches the Rfam family "Bacterial small subunit ribosomal RNA", at positions 526 to 896 of the family's 1533-position model. The record is from RNAcentral.
CGAAGGGGGCUAGCGUUGGCUCGGAAUUACUGGGCGUAAAGGGCGCGUAGGCGGACAGUUUAGUCAGAGGUGAAAGCCCAGGGCUCAACCUUGGAACUGCCUUUGAUACUGACUGUCUUGAGUUCGGGAGAGGUGAGUGGAAUGCCGAGUGUAGAGGUGAAAUUCGUAGAUAUUCGGCGGAACACCAGUGGCGAAGGCGACUCACUGGCCCGAUACUGACGCUGAGGCGCGAAAGCGUGGGGAGCAAACAGGAUUAGAUACCCUGGUAGUCCACGCCGUAAACGAUGAGUGCUAGUUGUCGGCAUGCAUGCAUGUCGGUGACGCAGCUAACGCAUUAAGCACUCCGCCUGGGGGAGUACGGUCGCAAGAUUA